Molecule: non-coding RNA, 460 nt
Organism: Arachis ipaensis
Lineage: Eukaryota; Viridiplantae; Streptophyta; Magnoliopsida; Fabales; Fabaceae
Source: RefSeq, a predicted model, not a curated record
CGUCACUUCCUUUCCUCCCUCACCGCCAUGGAUAGAGUAAGUUUCUAAACCCAAUAAGAAAGCAGUUAAUAAAGCAUUGUUAGGUGCAAAAGAAGCUAUGCUUGGGAUUAGAUGAGACUGCAGGUGUUCCUAUUGAACCAGAAUCACAAACAAAACUUUUAGAUGCUACACUGAACUUGGAAGGAGUGUUGUUGGCUGGAGUUCCAGAAGCAGGAGGAUUUGAUGUUGUCUUUGCUGUUACUUUGGGAGAUUCAAGCAGUAAUGUGAAAAAAAUAUGGAGCUUACUCAAUGUUAUUUAAUAUUUAAAAUUAUUAAAUUUAAUUAUUUGAAAUUGUAUAUUGAAUUUUUAAUAAUUUUAUUUAAUAUUUAAUUAAACCGGUUGAAUCCUAGUCGAACUUCGGUCGAACCGUUAAACCAGUGAACCAGUCACCUUACCGGUUUGUUGACCGGUUCAGUUUUC